GAAAUAAUGAACUGUUUGGAAUUUGAAAAUUUACUCAUUCCUCGCAUGUAUAGCGGUCGCCUUUUAUGAGCUUAUAAGCUAUCUCACCUACCAUAAUUUUCCACUUAAAAUUAUUUUGCCAGACUAGAUUCAGAGUGGAAAUAGUACAAACUCUACGCACAUCCAGCAACCCUGCGAAUCAAAACGCUAACUUUUUCAUCAGCAAGUACAUUUGUUGAUCAACUUCAAAGCCGUGCAAGUUGUUGGCAUCACCUUGUAGACGCAUCAGCAGGCCACCGAAGGAAACGUACGCUGAUAAUCUGGAAGACGCUUCAUUAUGAGCUUCAUCGCCUUCGAUGCGAUACACUUUUCCAAACAUAACGUAUUCGAAGCUAUCCGCACGUGUGCCUUCCUGUUCCAGCGGGUUAAAUUCGCCACUGUCCGGACAGCCGUCUUCUCGCAAAGUUGUAGCCAGCACCAAGCGGAAUUUAUCACCUAAUUCCAUGGGGUAUAA
This is a long non-coding RNA of Rhagoletis pomonella (apple maggot), 493 nucleotides long. RefSeq lists it as uncharacterized. Lineage: Eukaryota; Metazoa; Arthropoda; Insecta; Diptera; Tephritidae. The record is from RefSeq and is a predicted model, not a curated record. The transcript has 2 exons.